RNAcentral lists this ribosomal RNA (429 nucleotides) under Gemmatimonadota bacterium. Its description in RNAcentral is "Gemmatimonadetes bacterium partial 16S ribosomal RNA". It matches the Rfam family "Bacterial small subunit ribosomal RNA", at positions 355 to 776 of the family's 1533-position model. The record is from RNAcentral. Lineage: Bacteria; Pseudomonadati; Gemmatimonadota.
UAGGGAAUCUUCGGCAAUGGACGAAAGUCUGACCGAGCAACGCCGCGUGAGUGAAGAAGGUUUUCGGAUCGUAAAACUCUGUUGUUAGAGAAGAACAAGGACGUUAGUAACUGAACGUCCCCUGACGGUAUCUAACCAGAAAGCCACGGCUAACUACGUGCCAGCAGCCGCGGUAAUACGUAGGUGGCAAGCGUUGUCCGGAUUUAUUGGGCGUAAAGCUAGCGCAGGCGGUUUCUUAAGUCUGAUGUGAAAGCCCCCGGCUCAACCGGGGAGGGUCAUUAGAAACUGGGAGGCUUGAGUGCAGAAGAGGAGAGUGGAAUUCCAUGUGUAGCGGUGAAAUGCGUAGAUAUAUGGAGGAACACCAGUGGCGAAGGCGGCUCUCUGGUCUGUAACUGACGCUGAGGCUCGAAAGCGUGGGGAGCAAACAGG